This is a long non-coding RNA of Scophthalmus maximus (turbot), 2237 nucleotides long. RefSeq lists it as uncharacterized. The transcript has 3 exons. The record is from RefSeq and is a predicted model, not a curated record. Lineage: Eukaryota; Metazoa; Chordata; Actinopteri; Pleuronectiformes; Scophthalmidae.
UCCACAUGAAGAUGACCUGCAGCAGACUCACCUCCAGCACCUUGUGAAGGGGACCUGUAACUGCUACAGUUGGCAGUGUCACUGCUAUUGAAUUUGGCCUUCAGGUCACACUUUGUUAAGCCUAAACAGAUCCCUGAUAAGCAGUAAGCAUCUGAUAAGCGUUUUAGCGAGCUAAGCUAACAAGCCAGGUACCGAGCUCAGACACCGACACCCGCUAAUUACUGCAAACACAGAACAAUAUUAUCAUUUAACUUACCGAAACAACAGGAGCACAAGCUUCCUGGACUUCUCUGUUGGGACGACUGACCGCAGAGCAGGCGUAUUAUUCAUCCGGUAGUAGGUUGAAAUGUUCUCCGCAAGGCUCCGACACAACGGUCGAGAAGUCCCGAUCAAUGACCAAACAGCGGCGUCACCUGUCACUCAAGCAUCCACGCCCCUAAUUAUGCAGAAUUUCAAACCUUAAUAUAAUAUAAAUGGGCGAGUUAUAAAAAAAUGGUGUCAUCAAACCCUACAGUGAGUAUCAGUACCCUAGCUGAUUCACAGCCGCCGCAGAGGAAGGACAACAGACCCAGGUCUGAUUUGCAACUUCUGUUUGCAACCGCCGAAAAGACGAGCUCCACAAAAAGAAAUCAAUAGGUUCACUGCUCUUAACUGUAGUGUUACCAAAAUCACACCAGUCAAAGAUGAACUUCCCAUGUUCACAAUACAGCUCUUAUUUUGGACAGAAAAUGCUUUCUGAUAAUUUUGGUGAAUUUUUAUUUGAUAUCAUUUUUAAAAACUUCACUACUGUACAUUGCAGAGUCACCAAAUCGGUUCACACAAAGAUCUACUUCUGUGGUCACAUGACAGCUUUUAUUUUGGGUAUUAAGCUUAUUUUAGGUUAAAAAUGGUGAGUCUAACUGGAACCAUUUUAUAAGGCAAUUUGAGAGUAAGUGGUCUCUGUAUACUAAAGAUACGGGACAAAUGUUUAUAUAAACAUUAAUUCUUGUAAUCACUUAUGUGACAACAGAAAAUAUUUUUAUACCCAAAACAUUUAGAAUAGCGUGCUUUGUACAUGAGAUCUUUGUGUUUUCUCUAUUUGAACAAACAAAAGGUUUUAACAAGUAUCGUAUUAUGUCAGGUCACAUUUGAAGACUAUGACGGAGCCAUUGGAUUUGUUAAUAUUAGAAAAUGCUCAAUGGAAGUUUGUGGGGAGAAUACAGCUACUUUCAGUUUUGUGUAUCUUGUCAAUUGUGGUUUUGAAGUUUUAUAUAUAUAAAUAAAAAUUAUUAUGUUGAUUUAGUUUCUGUUGCUGUUGCUGAUGUAUCUUAAGAUGGCAUUUUACUUUUUCAAACAGUAUCUUCAUGCCCUUUCAAACCACAUUUUUUUGUGGUUGAUCCUCUGCAAGGGUCAAAUGAAUUUGAGGACUCCAAACAGCCUGGCCACAGAUUUGGACAAUACUUCAAGAUGCGCCAGAACAGAUUUGGGAAGGAAGACUGGGUCGAUAUCAAGUUGCAGCCUGGAACCAUUACCCAUACCAAAAGGAUGACCCCAAUUGUGGGAUCUUUGUGAUCCAGAUGGCCAAGAUGACGGUGAUGGGAUUUCCAAAUAUACCACAGGUGUUUCACAUUGACCCAGAGUAGAGAUCUCUUCAAAAACUAAGAAGAGACAUGGCAGAAGAAAUUCUGAAAGGAUCAGGUACUGUUUAAAAUAUUUGAGUAAGGGGAAGAAAACAGUAAUGCUCUUUUUAAAUCUCUCAGUUUCAAGCGAUGAGUUCCGCUCCUCUGUCGUAAUAAGGACCUGCCUAAGGAUGCUGUUAAUGCAGUUUGGGUGAGCAUUAAUGUUUAAUUGUUUUGAAACAGUUAUAAAUGAUCUGAAUGGUGGAUUAUAUAUAGGCUGGAGUGAAUUUCAUGGAAAAAAUAUAUGUUAUCGGGUAGUGUGUACUUUAAUGCAUUGCAAAUUAAAAUUUUCUUAAUGUUAUUAAUAUUUGAUAAUUUUAUAUUCAUCCCCAUGUAGAUUCAGUGUGGAACCUGUACAUGAUGGUUUCACACGCAUUGCCUGGGAAUGACAGCAGCACAAAUAUCAAGCAAGGAUAACCCGUGCUAUUGUUUGCUGUGCAACUAAGGACACUGUUGGUACUGUAUGUUGGAUAACUAUAAUAUUAAUAAUAAUUUCAUUAAUAAAGCACUUUUCAUUGCUAAAAGCAAUCUCAAAGUGCUACAGAGUAGAAAUAAGACAAAAGAAAUAUUUAAAAAAUA